RNAcentral lists this long non-coding RNA (488 nucleotides) under Homo sapiens (human). Its description in RNAcentral is "HSALNT0199035". Lineage: Eukaryota; Metazoa; Chordata; Mammalia; Primates; Hominidae. The record is from RNAcentral.
CCUUCUCCUCCUCGCCUACAGCACCCAAUUAAAGCCUUCUUCUUUGGCAGUAAUCAUCGUCUCAGUCAUUGGCUUUCUGUGCAGCCAGCAGCAGGCCCUAAACCAAACCCCAGGCAUUUCGUAUUCACGUUUAGAGGAGAAGGCCUCUUUACUGCCUUCCGCUGAACCAGCCACUCAUGGUACCUGCCAAUCUCCAUGGCCUCUGCUGAGCAUUCUCUCUGACAGCCCCCAGUCAGGGACACUGGAGGACCGGAGGCUGUGCUCUGGUGCACACCCUCCCCAACUUGUGCUUUCACCUAUUGGACUGUCUUCUAACCAAAAGUCUGUUGUGUUUGUCCCCAUACCUGUUCUUGCUAUCAUAUUUGAUUUUAUAAUUGCAAAAUUUAAUUAAAUAUUACAUAAACCAUUAAAAUGUGAGUGCAAAACAAAAUUAUAAAGACUAAGUUGCAAAUUUCAAUAAAAAUGAGUCACUAAAAAUAAAGGCUACU